UCAUGGGCGUGUGAGCCGUGAUCGGAUAGCUAGUGUUUGUAGGCUCCGUGCUCGUGCAUCGAACUUCAAACCACCUAUCCUUCUCAGUUGCUUCACGAGCAAUUUUAUGCUUGUUGACUAAGAUCUUGGGCUUGUGCUGUGUACCUAACUAGAAGGAAUUGUUGAGUUUGGUUUCCAACAUUGUUUGCGGCGUCUCCUUCUGUGGGGGAAGUCGUGAGCACAAAAGUCGGCACUUGUGAUCCAUGUGUCUCGGCAUCAAAUGCCUUGUUCGCAUAGGUGAAUGAGCUGUUGGUUGAACUCUCGGUUGCGGAAAUCUUAUCAACGGUGACUCGAAGUAAUUCAGUCCCGCCAAUUGAUAUUGUCCCUCGGGCAUAAGAUGACGGUCAAGACCUCGCCUGUUCUUCCUUACCUAGCGUUUGCGAGAAUGUGACGGGGCCUUGCCGUGAUUUAUGAAUGCUACCUGGUUGAUCCUGCCAGUAGUCAUAUGCUUGUCUCAAAGAUUAAGCCAUGCAUGUGUAAGUAUGAACGAAUUCAGACUGUGAAACUGCG
RNAcentral lists this unclassified non-coding RNA (549 nucleotides) under Mathewsia peruviana. Its description in RNAcentral is "partial contains external transcribed spacer and 18S ribosomal RNA". The stretch from base 458 to 549 matches the Rfam family "Eukaryotic small subunit ribosomal RNA", at positions 1 to 91 of the family's 1831-position model. Lineage: Eukaryota; Viridiplantae; Streptophyta; Magnoliopsida; Brassicales; Brassicaceae. The record is from RNAcentral.